Molecule: ribosomal RNA, 465 nt
Filed under: uncultured bacterium
Lineage: Bacteria
Description: partial 16S ribosomal RNA
Rfam family: Bacterial small subunit ribosomal RNA
Source: RNAcentral
GAUGAACGCUGGCGGCGUGCUUAACACAUGCAAGUCGAACGGAAAGGCUCCUGCUUGCAGGGGUACUCGAGUGGCGAACGGGUGAGUAACACGUGGGUGAUCUGCCCUGCACUUCGGGAUAAGCCUGGGAAACUGGGUCUAAUACCGGAUAGGACGAUGGUUUGGAUGCCAUUGUGGAAAGUUUUUCGGUGUGGGAUGAGCUCGCGGCCUAUCAGCUUGUUGGUGGGGUAAUGGCCUCCCAAGGCGUCGACGGGUAGCCGGCCUGAGAGGGUGUACGGCCACAUUGGGACUGAGAUACGGCCCAGACUCCUACGGGAGGCAGCAGUGGGGAAUAUUGCACAAUGGGCGCAAGCCUGAUGCAGCGACGCCGCGUGGGGGAUGACGGCCUUCGGGUUGUAAACUCCUUUCGCUAGGGACGAAGCGCAAGUGACGGUACCUGGAGAAGAAGCACCGGCUAACUACGUG